Molecule: long non-coding RNA, 578 nt
Organism: Oncorhynchus tshawytscha (Chinook salmon)
Lineage: Eukaryota; Metazoa; Chordata; Actinopteri; Salmoniformes; Salmonidae
Source: Ensembl
GAGAGAGAGAGGUGCCAUGGACAUUAAGACCAGAGAGAGAGAGAGAGAGGUGCCAUGGACAUUAAGACCAGAGAGAGAGAGGUGCCAUGGACAUUAAGACCAGAGAGAGAGAGAGAGAGAGAGAGAGGUGCCAUGGACAUUAAGACCAGAGAGAGAGGUGCCAUGGACAUUAAGACCAGAGAGAGAGAGAGAGAGAGAGGUGCCAUGGACAUUAAGACCAGAGAGAGAGGUGCCAUGGACAUUAAGACCAGAGAGAGAGAGAGAGAGAGAGAGAGAGAGAGGUGCCAUGGACAUUAAGACCAGAGAGAGAGGUGCCAUGGACAUUAAGACCAGAGAGAGAGAGAGAGAGAGAGAGAGAGAGAGAGGUGCCAUGGACAUUAAGACCAGAGAGAGAGGUGCCAUGGACAUUAAGACCAGAGAGAGAGAGAGGUGCCAUGGACAUUAAGACCAGAGAGAGAGAGAGAGAGAGAGAGAGAGAGGUGCCAUGGACAUUAAGACCAGAGAGAGAGAGAGAGGUGCCAUGGACAUUAAGACCAGAGAGAGAGAGGUGCCAUGGACAUUAAGACCAGAGAGAGAGA